RNAcentral lists this ribosomal RNA (1591 nucleotides) under Dromas ardeola. RNAcentral's name for it is "16S ribosomal RNA". It matches the Rfam family "Bacterial large subunit ribosomal RNA". Lineage: Eukaryota; Metazoa; Chordata; Aves; Charadriiformes; Dromadidae. The record is from RNAcentral.
AAGCCUACUCUAGCCCGACCACAUCACCAGACAACGAUAGAAAAAUCCACUUUACCACUAAACUAAAUCAUUCUUUAAACUUAGUAUAGGCGAUAGAAAAGAAUCUCUCCAGGCGCGAUAGAAACUGUACCGUAAGGGAAAGAUGAAAUAAUAAUGAAAACCCAAGCAUCAAAUAGCAAAGAUAAACCCUUGUACCUUUUGCAUCAUGAUUUAGCAAGAACAACCAAGCAAAACGAAUUUAAGCUUGCCACCCCGAAACCUAAGCGAGCUACUUGCAAGCAGCUACCUAUGAGCGAACCCGUCUCUGUUGCAAAAGAGUGGGACGACUUGCCAGUAGAGGUGAGAAGCCAACCGAGCUGGGUGAUAGCUGGUUGCCUGUGAAACGAAUCUAAGUUCUCUCUCGAUCCUUCUCCCCGGACACAACCUUAAACCCCCAUGUAAUGGGUCAAGAGUUAUUUAAAGGGGGUACAGCCCCUUUAAAAAAGAACACAACCUCCACUAGCGGAUAAUUUUCUUCCCCACAAACUGUAGGCCUUCAAGCAGCCACCAAUAAAGAAUGCGUCAAAGCUCCCCACGUAAAAAUCCAAUAAUAAUAUGAUUCCCUUCCUACUAACAGGCCAACCUAUAAUCAUAGGAGAAUUAAUGCUAGAAUGAGUAACUGGGGACUUAACCCUCUCAAGCGCAAACUUACAUUUACACAUUAUUAACAGCCAACAAACCAAUAUCUCAACUCCAACAAGACUAAGAUAUUAACCACAUCCUGUUACCCCAACUCAGGAGCGCCUGUUAGAAAGAUUAAAAUCUGUAAAAGGAACUAGGCAAACCCAGGGCCCGACUGUUUACCAAAAACAUAGCCUUCAGCUAACCAAGUAUUGAAGGUGAUGCCUGCCCAGUGACACAACGUUUAACGGCCGCGGUAUCCUAACCGUGCGAAGGUAGCGCAAUCAAUUGUCUCAUAAAUCGAGACUUGUAUGAAUGGCUAAACGAGGUCCUAACUGUCUCUUACAGAUAAUCAGUGAAAUUGAUCCUCCUGUGCAAAAGCAGGAAUACCCACAUAAGACGAGAAGACCCUGUGGAACUUAAGAAUCAACGGCCACCACACAAAAAUUCAAGCCUACCAGGCCCACUACACCCCAAAUACUGGCCUACAUUUUUUGGUUGGGGCGACCUUGGAGAAAAACAAAUCCUCCAAAAACAAGACCACACCUCUUAACCAAGAACAACCCCUCGACGUACUAAUAGUAACCAGACCCAAUACAAUUGAUCAAUGGACCAAGCUACCCCAGGGAUAACAGCGCAAUCUCCUCUAAGAGCCCACAUCGACGAGGAGGUUUACGACCUCGAUGUUGGAUCAGGACAUCCUAAUGGUGCAGCCGCUAUUAAGGGUUCGUUUGUUCAACGAUUAACAGUCCUACGUGAUCUGAGUUCAGACCGGAGCAAUCCAGGUCGGUUUCUAUCUAUGCUAGACUUUCCCUAGUACGAAAGGACCGAGAAAGUAGGGCCAAUACUACAAGCACGCCCUCUCCCUAAGCAAUGCAUGCAACUAAAUUACUAAGGGACUCCCCACACCAUCCAUCCUAGAAAAGGAUUA